This 22-nucleotide microRNA is filed under the name Euprymna scolopes. RNAcentral describes it as "Esc-Mir-2-o49_5p (mature (guide))". Lineage: Eukaryota; Metazoa; Mollusca; Cephalopoda; Sepiida; Sepiolidae. The record is from RNAcentral.
UCAUCAAAGUGGCUGUCAUACG